GCAGCUGCCCUCACCGCCCGCCUUCGCCGCUCCUCCGGCGCCCGCCGUCCCCCGCCGCUUUCUUUCCCGACAGCCCCCUCGCCCCCCGAUCUAGGCCGGGGACCGUCACCGGCGUCUCCUUUCCCUUGCCGAAGGGGAAGCCGGGGCGGAUUCUCUGUUCCUACUCCGACGAGAUCUCCACUGUCGAGAGGAUCAAGAAGACUAACGAUGCCGUGGAGUCUGAGACGGCGGAGGAGGCUCCGGUUUCUGAGGCGAUCGGGGAUGAA
This 266-nucleotide unclassified non-coding RNA is filed under the name Hevea brasiliensis (rubber tree). The record is from RNAcentral. Lineage: Eukaryota; Viridiplantae; Streptophyta; Magnoliopsida; Malpighiales; Euphorbiaceae.